GUAGCCAAGCGACAUUAAAUAAUUUUGGCCUUAUGCAAGUCAGCGUUCUUUGCUGGCGACACUUUCGAAUUGCGGGGAACCCCUAAGAGCCUUUUGCACCAAACCAGACUUGGGAAACCUUCUGGCGGCCCGUGGGAAACUACGGGGUAUGGUAAUAGUCAAAAGGAUGAGCUGCAUCACUGCAGCGAAAUGGGCAAUCCGCAGCGAAGCCCCUGCUGUUCAUGGUAAUUUAUUUAUAAGUAACCAAACAUGGGGAACGUUCACAGACUAAGUGGAAGUGGGUGGAGUAUUCUCUGAAUACUCUGCUUAAGAUAUAGUCGGGCCCCUUUGGAAACUCUGGGGAUGGGAUUCCAACGUCACGUUGGCGUCCCUGCAAAGCUGUUCCGUAGGUGAACCUGCGGAAGGAUCAUUA
This 412-nucleotide non-coding RNA is filed under the name Pleosporales sp. RNAcentral describes it as "partial 18S ribosomal RNA". The stretch from base 6 to 341 matches the Rfam family "Group I catalytic intron". From Rfam's summary of the family: Group I catalytic introns are large self-splicing ribozymes. The record is from RNAcentral. Lineage: Eukaryota; Fungi; Ascomycota; Dothideomycetes; Pleosporales.